RNAcentral lists this ribosomal RNA (443 nucleotides) under uncultured Erysipelothrix sp. Its description in RNAcentral is "bacterial SSU rRNA". It matches the Rfam family "Bacterial small subunit ribosomal RNA", at positions 933 to 1382 of the family's 1533-position model. The record is from RNAcentral. Lineage: Bacteria; Bacillati; Bacillota; Erysipelotrichia; Erysipelotrichales; Erysipelotrichaceae.
UGGAUUAUGUUGUUUAAUUCGACGCAACGCGAAGAACUUACCAGGCCUUGACAUACUCGGCAAAGCUCUAGAGAUAGAGUGGAGGUUAUCCGGGAUACAGGUGGUGCAUGGCUGUCGUCAGCUCGUGUCGUGAGAUGUUGGGUUAAGUCCCGCAACGAGCGCAACCCUUGUCUUUAGUUACCAUCAUUCAGUUGGGGACUCUAGAGAGACUGCCGGUGAUAAACCGGAGGAAGGUGGGGAUGACGUCAAAUCAUCAUGCCCCUUAUGGCCUGGGCUACAAACGUAAUACAAUGGCGUAUACAAAGGGAUGCGGAAGGGCGACCUGGAGCAAAACUCACAAAGUACGUCUCAGUUCAGAUUGGAGUCUGCAACUCGACUCCAUGAAGGCGGAAUCGCUAGUAAUCGCGGAUCAGCAUGCCGCGGUGAAUACGUUCUCGGGGUUU